GGGUGAUUAGCUCAACGGCAGAGCAGUUGACUCUUAAUCAAUUGGUUCUGAGUUCGAAUCUCAGAUCACCCA
RNAcentral lists this transfer RNA (72 nucleotides) under Anabaena sphaerica FACHB-251. Its description in RNAcentral is "tRNA-Lys". It matches the Rfam family "tRNA". Rfam says of the family: Transfer RNA (tRNA) molecules are approximately 80 nucleotides in length. Their secondary structure includes four short double-helical elements and three loops (D, anti-codon, and T loops). Lineage: Bacteria; Bacillati; Cyanobacteriota; Cyanophyceae; Nostocales; Nostocaceae. The record is from RNAcentral.